RNAcentral lists this ribosomal RNA (317 nucleotides) under Oscillospiraceae bacterium. RNAcentral's name for it is "bacterial SSU rRNA". It matches the Rfam family "Bacterial small subunit ribosomal RNA", at positions 1 to 310 of the family's 1533-position model. Lineage: Bacteria; Bacillati; Bacillota; Clostridia; Eubacteriales; Oscillospiraceae. The record is from RNAcentral.
UUUUUAGAGAGUUUGAUCCUGGCUCAGGAUAAACGCUGGCGGCGUGCAUAACACAUUCAAGUCGAACGAACUGAUACGGAAGCUUGCUUUUGUUGAAAGUUAGUGGCGGACGGGUGAGUAACGCGUGAGCAACCUGCCUAUCUGUGGGGAAUAACACAUGGAAACGUGUGCUAAUACCGCAUAACACAACCUGAUCGCAUGUUUAGGUUGUCAAAGAUUUAUCGCAGAUAGAUGGGCUCGCGUCUGAUUAGCUAGUUGGAGGGGUAACGGCCCACCAAGGCGACGAUCAGUAGCCGGACUGAGAGGUUGAACGGCCA